Leucoraja erinaceus (little skate) is the source of this 787-nucleotide long non-coding RNA. RefSeq lists it as uncharacterized. Lineage: Eukaryota; Metazoa; Chordata; Chondrichthyes; Rajiformes; Rajidae. The transcript is spliced from 2 exons. The record is from RefSeq and is a predicted model, not a curated record.
GAAAAAACAAGUAGAAGAGUUGAAAGGGAAGGAAACUUGUUUGACCAGCUGAAAUUCAAAAGGGUGUUUGCCUCGAGUGAAUGAGCAAGUUAUGUUUACAACCAGUCACGUGAUCGCUUCUUGUCAGCUGCAAUCUAGAUACAGCUGGGAAGCAACGGUGGCCUGUGUGUGUGUGUGUGUGUGUGUGUGUACACCCUAACCAGCGUACGUGGCAGGGAACCUGUGCCGUAUAUUCAGCAAGGAUCUGGAUAUUGUUGGCGAGUCCAUGACCUAUGCUGCCAAGAAGGACAUAGAAACAUAGAAAAUAGGUGCAGGAGUAGGCCAUUCGGCCCUUCGAACCAACACCGCCAUUCAACAUGAUCAAGGCUGAUCCUCCAAAAUCGGAACCAAGAGCAGAAGGUGUAUAGAAACAUCAACAGCACCAGGGGUGCAGACCAUCUUGCGGGUCUUUUAUUGUUGCUGGGUCUAAAUCCUGGAGCCCCCACCCCAAACUACACUGUGGGCAUCGGUCGGGUGGUGCUAGACUUGGUCUACUCGCUGUCCACAGGCGCCCCCUGGUGGAUUUCCGGGACCGCUGGGCACCGCGGGGGAUGGAAUCUAUCCUGAAUAAGGAUGGGGAAAUAGUUGUUUAAGAGUGUAACAUUUAGGAAUAUAUGUUUAGAUUUUGUAUUACGGUGGUGGGUUUGCUAUUUGGUAACAAUGUUUGGUGUUGUUUUGUAUUGUGUAUAUUAUUCUUGCAAUAAUUGAGUACAUUUAUUUUUGAGUACAAUAAAUUUAUUGAUUACAA